CUAUUGUUAUGGUGCGUUAUUUAUGCGUCAAAUAUAUUUUCCAAUUAGGUAUAUUUUCAACCUUUAGGCUUCGGGUUCAAAUUAUAUUAACGCUACCGUAACACAAAUAGCAUGAAACCUUAUACCUUUUAUAUAUUUUAUUUACUUUCAACAAUAUGAAUUAGCGUCUCUAUAACGUUAUAAUAAUAUAGUAAUCUUAAUAUAUCAACUUAUCUCUCUAUUUGUUUGAGCUGAGCACAACUUUGAAUCUUUAUUCUUUAUACUUUGUAUUCCGUCGUCUUUAAUAAUAAUUAUUCCACAAUAUUCCAAUGUUCUUCAGUUUACUUGACGAGGCUUAAUUAUCUAGCCUUUUAAUUAUAUACUUCAGCCUUUGUUGGCUUAUGAAGUAAUUUAGCCUAAAUGGCUCUUCUCACUUCACUCUCCGCUCUCGACUCUCAGGUUGUGCUCAGCUUUUAUAAUAAAUUUUAGAGGAAGAAAUCUGUAACUAUGACUAAUUUCCUCUACGCAAUAUGUUUGUCAAAGCAAGUUCUAGCAGUGUUUAU
This 542-nucleotide long non-coding RNA is filed under the name Paramuricea clavata. The record is from RNAcentral. Lineage: Eukaryota; Metazoa; Cnidaria; Anthozoa; Malacalcyonacea; Plexauridae.